This 245-nucleotide ribosomal RNA is filed under the name uncultured bacterium. RNAcentral describes it as "partial 16S ribosomal RNA". It matches the Rfam family "Bacterial small subunit ribosomal RNA", at positions 524 to 768 of the family's 1533-position model. The record is from RNAcentral.
UACGUAGGGCGCGAGCGUUAUCCGGAAUUAUUGGGCGUAAAGAGCUCGUAGGCGGUUUGUCGCGUCUGCUGUGAAAGCCCGGGGCUCAACCCCGGGUCUGCAGUGGGUACGGGCAGGCUGGAGUGCAGUAGGGGAGACUGGAAUUCCUGGUGUAGCGGUGAAAUGCGCAGAUAUCAGGAGGAACACCGAUGGCGAAGGCAGGUCUCUGGGCUGUAACUGACGCUGAGGAGCGAAAGCAUGGGGAG